Molecule: long non-coding RNA, 334 nt
Filed under: Capsella rubella
Lineage: Eukaryota; Viridiplantae; Streptophyta; Magnoliopsida; Brassicales; Brassicaceae
Description: long non-coding RNA (CRUB_LNC003821)
Source: RNAcentral
GCAAACUUGAGAGUUUCCAUAUAACUUAGAGGCUUCACUACACCCUCUAGGAUUCACCAAACCACACUUAAUCCGAGAUUUACUUACCAUAUUUGUACCCGUUUGGCCACAAUGCACAACGGCUCCUUCCUUCUUUGUUUGUGUGUGUGUUUAAGGUUCUCACUAAAAUCAAAAAGCUUUCAAAACACUCCACAUAUUCCUCAAAACGUUCCAGAUACAAGCUCAAUCAUAUCUCACCUCUUUGGCCAAGGAUUUUACCAUAAAGACUCCAACGACUAGUUUUUAAUUAACAUCGCAUAUCUUCUUUCUUUGUUUAGAUUUUAGAAAAUUGUAC